UACGGAGGGUGCAAGCGUUGUUCGGAAUCAUUGGGCGUAAAGCGAGCGUAGGCGGGAUGGUAAGUCGGGUGUGAAAGCCCUCGGCUCAACCGAGGAAGUGCACUCGAAACUACCAUUCUUGAGUACUGGAGAGGGAAGCGGAAUUCCCGGUGUAGAGGUGAAAUUCGUAGAUAUCGGGAGGAACACCAGUGGCGAAGGCGGCUUCCUGGACAGAUACUGACGCUGAGGCUCGAAAGCGUGGGGAGCAAACAGG
Molecule: unclassified non-coding RNA, 253 nt
Filed under: uncultured Myxococcales bacterium
Lineage: Bacteria; Pseudomonadati; Myxococcota; Myxococcia; Myxococcales
Description: contains 16S-23S intergenic spacer region
Rfam family: Bacterial small subunit ribosomal RNA
Source: RNAcentral